Molecule: RNA transcript, 6143 nt
Organism: Acinonyx jubatus (cheetah)
Lineage: Eukaryota; Metazoa; Chordata; Mammalia; Carnivora; Felidae
Gene: N4BP2L2
Gene name: NEDD4 binding protein 2 like 2
Exons: 11
Source: RefSeq, a predicted model, not a curated record
GGGGUAACAGCGCGGUGGCCGCCAUCUUGCGUACGGCGGUGCAGCUUGCCCAGAUGCUGAGGGCUUGGGGUUUAGUUCCUCUCUGCUUUGGGGCGGUGUUUGCGCGUUGCUUUUACCUUUUCAGAUGUUCGUGUCUUUCUAGACGAGGAUUUUAUUGGGAGGUAAAAGUCAAUGCAGAGCUGUAGUGUAAGAUGCCUUAUGGUGAAAUUGAAGCAAAAUCUUUGGAUCAUGGUGAAGAACUAACAAGUGAACCAUGCUAUAAAAAAUUGAAGUCAACUGAAGAGGCUUAUGUUUUUUCCCACCAUGGUAGUGCUGAUUUUCACAGAAUCCAAGAGAAAACUGGGAAUGAUUGGGUUCCUGUGACCGUUGUGGAUGUCAGAGGACAUAGUUAUCCUCAGGAGGACAAAAUCAAAGCUACAGACUUGCCGAAACCUGUGCGUGAUGUGGUGCCUGGUAAUAAUAGACCAGAUGUUAUCGAAUCCAUUGAUGCACAGAUUUUACAGGAUACAGGUCCUCCAUUGGUAUCCACAGAUGAUGAGAUAUAUAGCACAAGUAAAGCAUUUAUAGGACCCAUUUACAAACCGCCUGAGAAGAGGAAAUGUAAUGAAGGGAGGAAUCAGUCAGGCACUAUCAAUGGUAUAGCUGACAAAGGACGAGACACGAAACAGAAAUUUAACUCCAAAGAAUCAGAGCUUGACAAUGAAUUAUUCCAGUUUUACAAAGAAAUUGAAGAGCUUGAAAAUGAAAAAGAUGAUUUGGAAGGAAGUUGUAAAGAACCUGAACCCUCUGAGGAACAAGUUACUGCCUGUCAUCAGGGCCAUAAUAACGGUCUGUUAAAAUCUGAAGAAGGAAAGAAAAGAGAUAUUAGUAAUGUUCUUCAGUCACAUUGUGGUUAUCCACAGCACGUGGGAAACGAGCCAGGCAAAUAUCCUUGUAAUGGACAAGUAAUACCUGCAUUUUGUGAUGAUUCGUUUACUUCCUUCAGGCCUGAAUGGCAGUCAGUACAUUCUUUUAUAGUACCCCCCGGUCCUCCUCUUCCCAGUUUUAACUAUCAUUUAAAUAUUCAAAGAUUCGAUGCUCCACCAAAUCCACCAUCAAAUACUUUCCAUGCCCAAGAUGGUUCUCAGUUUCAAAAUGGGAAUUAUGUAAAUGGUUGUCACGUUAACUGGAACUGUAUGACUUUUGAUCAGAACAAUGACUAUAUUGAUUGUAGUGAGAACACCAGUAGAGAUCAUUCCUCUACAAAUGGCUACGGUGUGCAAGAUGGAUAUGUGAGUAAUGGUUUCUAUGAAACCAGUGAAGGAUGUUGGAAAGAUACUUCUAUGGACAACCAUCAUGGAACACACAGGCUUAUGAACCAGCAGUUUCAAGAGGAAAAGUUAAAUAAAUUGCAGAAACUACUUAUUCUUUUAAGAGGGUUGCCUGGUUCUGGGAAAACAACGUUGUCUCGAAUUCUGCUUGGUCAGAGUCGUGAUGGCAUUGUGUUCAGCACUGAUGACUAUUUUCACCAUCAAGAUGGGUACAGGUAUAAUGUUAAUCAACUUGGUGAUGCCCAUGACUGGAACCAGAACAGAGCAAAACAAGCUAUCAAUCAAGGGAGAUCUCCAGUUAUAAUAGACAACACUAAUACACAAGCUUGGGAAAUGAAACCAUAUGUGGAAAUGGCCAUAGGAAAAGGAUACAGAGUAGAGUUUCAUGAACCUGAAACUUGGUGGAAAUUUGAUCCUGAAGAAUUAGAAAAGAGGAAUAAACAUGGUGUAUCUCGAAAGAAGAUUGCUCAGAUGUUGGAUCGUUACGAAUACGAAAUGUCCAUCUCUAUUGUAAUGAAUUCAGUGGAACCGCCACACAAAAGCACACAAAGACCUCCUCCUUCACAGGGGAGACAGAGAGAAAGCGAUUUGAAGAAAACUGGGCCCAGGUUCAGCAAAAGCAAACAGAAGAGAAGCAGAAAAAGAAGUAAAAAGCAGAACAGUCAUGGUAAAAUCAUGGGAGAAAACUCAUUUGAAACCUUAAGUUAUACACCAGGAGACCAGGACCCCUCUCAGAGUGCAGAGGAAGACUUGGAAGACACCAACAGAGAAUCGGCGUGCACCUUCACUGGUGGACUGGGACAUGAACUAAGAGGUUUAGUAAAUAGCCACCAAGAUGAAAUAUGGAGAAGCAUACAUCCUGAAGAUGGUUUUCCAAAUGUUAUGUCUGCAGUUGAGCUGGACAAUACACCAGAAAAUUACCUCCCUAAAGAACACGAUGAUUUGUUUCCAAAUAUGUCACUGAUGCCGCAUGAAAACGCUGUUACUUGCCCGACAAUGACUCAGAGUCUUUCCUGCAUGGCAAGUGAUGACUGGUCUGGCGCAAAUGUAGGAAAGCACACUGGAAGUAGGCAUCCCACAGCAUCAGACGUCCAGGGUGGAUCUGCGUCCAUCCCAUGCUCACUGAUGCAGAAGAGAGAGAGGGUAGAUAAAAGACUCCUGAAUGAAACAUUUCUGCGCAAUCGAUAUGGAUCCAGAACUUCAGAUAAAAGUUUAAGAAAGGAACAAGGAGUAAAUUCAGCUAAAAACGAUUAUUGGGCUUUUUCUUCAAACAAUUUUUCUGAUGAAGAAUUACAGCUGAGCUCUGAGAGGCAACCCUAUUUUGGGAGCUGGCCUGAAGGACCUCAUAAGUUUAUAUGUGAACAAAGACCAAAGAGAGAGAGAUGGCAAAGGCUGGCCUCUCCGGACAGCAGGGGACAAUUGAUUAAGUUGAUCUCCACUCCUGAAGGAACUUCAGGACCAGGAAGCAGUCCAGAAACACUGGUAGAGGAGAAGCUGUUGAUAGAAAAUGAAGAUUUGUCACCUCCCACUGAGAAUAUAGAUUCAAUCAUAGAAACAGAAACAAAUGUCUUUAGAAGCUGCUUUCCUAACCUGCAUAUCCCAAAGAGUGACUUAUGCUCAACAAAGAAUAAGAAAAGGAGGGAGAAAAGGAUUUUCAAUUUGGCACCAAACUUUAACUUACUGGGACAGAGAUAUAUCAGUGUGAAAGAAAGAGGGGAAUAUGGCGUGAUAACAGAAAGCCAUGGACUAAAAAUUAUUUUGGAAGAAGAAAAAGAUAGAAUCUCAGAAAUAAACAAUAUAGAGGAGAAUAAGCAAAAACUUAUGACCUUUGAUCAUCAUCCAUCAUGGUUUUGCUUUGCUGUUUUCGAAGAUCCUCCUUUAAAUUUUGGUAGACAGUCUUAUUCUCAUUACCUGCCAUUUAGUAGACUAAGGCGCUCUGUGUACUUUUAUAAAAACCCUAUUCCUUCUCUUGUGCUACAGUAUACCUUCAGCUUUUGGAUGGUAUCUUUUACGAGCAAGAAACCAUCUUUGACUUUCAAAUCUCAGACAAGGGUAGAUGACCAACUACAUGACCUAGGGUUUAGUUCUUCAGAAAUUUUAAGUAGCCAAUCUGAUACUUUGUACUCUUUUAGGGUCACUUCUGAUCUUCACUUUUUAAAUGAAAGUUUUGAUGAAAAGCUGAAGACAUGGGAAGAACCUAAGCCAUUACAGUUCUUACAAACUGAAGAUAACCAAGAUUUGACGAGCACUGGCUUUGAUUCCCUUGAACUACAAUUAUCACAAGGGUUUGCCUUUCAACUGGUAAAGCUUUUUGGAUCCCCUGGAGUUCCAAUGGAAUCUUUGUUGCCUGAUGACUGUGUGGUUUCCCUUGACUGGAAGACACUGAAGAUGAUCUAUUUGCAGUGGAAAAUAUCAGUAGAGAAAAGACAGAAGAAGAUUGGUUAAAAAUGAGAAUUUCUGGAACCUUGAAUUCUCCAGUCCUCCUCGUGCUGUUGAAGACCCUAAUCGUCAAGAAAGAGUGCCCAGUGCCCGCCCAAAGGAUCAUUUUCAACGAUACACUCAUUGGAUACCAAAAUUGGUUUGGAUAAUCUGUCCAACCAUUCUUGAUUAGUUAUCUGAAUAAUAAAAAACUCAACAAAAGAGGGAGGAAGAAUAUACAGUGCGAUAUGUGUUUAUAAUUACUUGGUGGAAAGGCUGCCCAGCUAUACAGGAGAUUCUCCACCAUCGUAGUCCUGGAGCCAUUGGGAAAGUAGAAGAACACGCUGCUGAAUUGGACCAAGAUAAUAUUGCAGGUGUGGUUUAUGACUAGAGAAGCAGUAGAAAUAGAGGAAGAAAUGAAAGGGGAAGAAUGUGUUCAUAGGAAGAUCUCAGACAUGCACAAGAUGUUCCCUUAACCUAAUCCAAGCCUAAGACACUGAGAAGUUAAACAUCUUGAUCAGGGUCACAGGGAUGACUUCCUAUUUCUAGUGCAGAGCUUUUACUUCUGCACCAAAGGAAGAGGCCACUGGGAGUGACCUCGUGAAAGACUAAUGAAGUUGGUUUUGAAUUUGUUGUUUAAUUAAAAAAUGCUUACGUGGUCUAUUAAAGGGGCUAAGUUUACCUGGAUUAACUCUUAGAGUAAGAAAGUCACCUUUUAUUAUUUGUCAUUAUUGAUGAUAUAUUUCUUUGGCUAUAAAAAAUACCAGGGAAUUGAUUUUCUUUAUUAAUGUGGUACCACUGGGACAAUGGGAGGGGAUGAUUUAGAUUUUUUAAUAAGUACUCAUAUUUAUCCUGAUUAUGGUAUGUUGGAGAGAGAUGUAGUCAAUAUCCAACCCCCGAGGGUCUGAAGUCCCUUCCUCAUCUACUCACAGGAUAAGACAUUUGUAAUUCAAUCUAGUGACUUAGUUCCCUCUUGGCAUUUCAGUGAACUCUUCUCUAUUUAAUGGCACCAUUCUAGGCCCAUUCAGACUCUAGAGGAACCCAAUAAGGAAUUGUUUGUUUUCACUCCAAAUUAUCUAAAGAGACCUAGGCUCUAUGGAUUGAGGACAUUGUACAAUAAGGAAAAACUGACCUAAUUUCUGAUUGUUCCUUCAUAAGGAUCUCUAUGGCAUCAUGUGUAUGACUUGGGGAGAAGGCUAUCUGGUUUUAUCAAGGUAAGAGCCGGGAAAAGAGAAGGGAGAAAGGAAAGAAAGUAUACAUUUAUUGAGUGCUAACUGUGUGCUUGGCAGUUUAUAGACGCUGACUUAUUGGAUCUUUACAAUAACCCUACGAUAUGGUUGAUUUCAUUUUAUAAGCGAGGAAAUUAGAAUCAGAGAAUCAUGCACUUGGUCCUGAGAUUCCAGAUUUUGUAAUACACAAAGUGGUCUUACCUACUAGGGAUGUUCAUGAACAAACACACAUACAUCUGCUUUUCAUAGUUACUAGGAAUCCUGUUGAGGCAUGAUUGUAUAGCGAGGAUAUUUCAAUGUUCCUUUUCACAUUUUUUAAGGAUAUUUUAAGAGGGGCUUUCUCUGCUCUCGAAAGUAGCACCUCUCCAGCAUUCUUUGCCCUGUACUUUGACUUCCUUUUCUCCCUUACAGUAGCACCCCCUGCCAUAUGGUUACUUAUUAUCUAUUUAUUUUACUAGAAGGUAGCUUUGUGAGACGUGUUGUGAGCUCCUUGAUAUCAGGAAAUAUUUUUUCUUCAGCUUCUGAGAGAAGGUCUGGCACCUAGUAGGCCUACGUCACUAAAUAUUUGAUGGAUUUGUCAGUGCCAGAAGCUUCCUAACAAUUGCCAGCUCAGUUGUCAGCAUGGGACUCGAGUAAAGCACAAAAGUGAAAAGGAGAUUAUUCACACAAAGAGAGGUGUAAAAGAAUGAAUGGGCUGUGGAGAAUAGAUGAGAGAAACAAAGCAUAGGUCCAGCCAUCUGCUCCAAAGUCCUCUUCCAUCGGUACACAAGAAAAUCCUUCCUGUGUUUUACACGUGAAGAUGUUGGAUGUGCCUCCUUCACCACCCAGGAGUCACACUAAAGAGGGGUUUAAAAAUUAGAAUGAAAGAUGCAGCUGCUUUCACAGAGAAGCAGCAGCCAACGGUUUUCCGUUCAACCACUGUUCUGUUGUCUAUAACUGACUUAGGACAUCUUGGGAAAACACAGCAAAAAACAAGUUAACACUGAGGUAGGUGUGCUUCUGAUUCCUCCUAUUCUGAGCAUGGCUGAAGUGACCAACAAUAGAAACAUGGGGACACCUGUACCAUUGCUAGAUUCUACAGAAGGGAGUUGUUCACAUGCAAAAAAAGGAAGUUCUCAUAGGUAGAGUGGAGUGGGAUGCACUGGGCCUUGAGGGCUAUCUGGGAGUCUGGUAGGCAUUCACAUGC